RNAcentral lists this microRNA (19 nucleotides) under Plutella xylostella (diamondback moth). Its description in RNAcentral is "pxy-miR-8547". The record is from miRBase by way of RNAcentral. Lineage: Eukaryota; Metazoa; Arthropoda; Insecta; Lepidoptera; Plutellidae.
UUAACUGAAAAUUAAAUAA